This 556-nucleotide long non-coding RNA is filed under the name Homo sapiens (human). Its description in RNAcentral is "non-protein coding CSE1L-AS1:4". The record is from RNAcentral. Lineage: Eukaryota; Metazoa; Chordata; Mammalia; Primates; Hominidae.
GUUGAUCGAUCCAAGGUCGUGCACAUAGGGUCUAAGACGGAAGAGAACUUCCUGCCCCUCUUGGAGCUUCUAUUUUAGAGGGAGACACGGCCAGACAGGUCUCGAACUCCUGGCCUCAAGUGAUCCGCACACCUUGGCCUCCCAAAAUGCUGGGAUUCCAGGCGUGAGCCACCGCGCCUGGCCUGUCCUAGGGAGAAUGAGCCUGAUGACUUUACCAUUUUCCACCUCUAAGAGCCAAUCGCAAAGGAGGCUGGCUGGCAUCUUGUGUCUGUCUAGCAUCUCUACCAGUUUCUGUAGAAAACCCUCAAGCUGUGCCAAGACGAUCAUGUCUGGACACAGCUCUUGGUGUCACGGGGUGUCUCCUCCUACUGCCUAUCGCCCUUUGCAGCCACCAGAAUAAUCAUGCAGGAGCCAGGGCCCCAUAUUAUCUACCGCUGUCCAUCUGCUCUCCAGCACAUCAGAGCAGCCCUUCCCCUGUGUGAGAUUCCUCUCCAGGGCAAGACUUGAAGGGAGCAUCAAGGUUGCAGUGGAAGAAAUAAAUUGGAAGUGGAGCUGG